RNAcentral lists this ribosomal RNA (253 nucleotides) under uncultured bacterium. RNAcentral's name for it is "partial 16S ribosomal RNA". It matches the Rfam family "Bacterial small subunit ribosomal RNA", at positions 524 to 776 of the family's 1533-position model. The record is from RNAcentral.
UACGAAAGGGGCUAGCGUUGCUCGGAAUCACUGGGCGUAAAGCGCACGUAGGCGGACUCUUAAGUCGGUGGUGAAAUCCUGGAGCUCAACUCCAGAACUGCCUUCGAUACUGAGAGUCUCGAGUCCGGGAGAGGUGAGUGGAACUGCGAGUGUAGAGGUGAAAUUCGUAGAUAUUCGCAAGAACACCAGUGGCGAAGGCGGCUCACUGGCCCGGUACUGACGCUGAGGUGCGAAAGCGUGGGGAGCAAACAGG